AGAGUUUGAUUCUGGCUCAGGAUGAACGCUAGCUACAGGCUUAACACAUGCAAGUCGAGGGGCAGCAUUGGAGUAGCAAUACUUCAGAUGGCGACCGGCGCACGGGUGAGUAACACGUAUCCAACCUGCCGCUUACUCGGGGAUAGCCUUUCGAAAGAAAGAUUAAUACCCGAUGGUAUAAAGAGUUCGCAUGUUCUCUUUAUUAAAGAAUUUCGGUAAGCGAUGGGGAUGCGUUCCAUUAGAUAGUUGGCGGGGUAACGGCCCACCAAGUCUACGAUGGAUAGGGGUUCUGAGAGGAAGGUCCCCCACAUUGGAACUGAGACACGGUCCAAACUCCUACGGGAGGCAGCAGUGAGGAAUAUUGGUCAAUGGACGAGAGUCUGAACCAGCCAAAAGUAGCGUGAAGGAUGACUGCCCUAUGGGUUGUAAACUUCUUUUAUAAGGGAAUAAAGUGAGGGACGUGUCCCUUUUUGUAUGUACCUUAUGAAUAGGGAUCGGCUAACGGGGUCCGUGCCAGCCGCGGC
This 524-nucleotide ribosomal RNA is filed under the name uncultured bacterium. RNAcentral's name for it is "bacterial SSU rRNA". It matches the Rfam family "Bacterial small subunit ribosomal RNA", at positions 8 to 521 of the family's 1533-position model. The record is from RNAcentral.